UUCGACAUUGUAACUGAUUCAUUGCUUGAACCUCUGUGAUUGAAAUUUUUUCCAGUGUUUUCUGAAAUCUGAAACAAUCUACACUAUCUCCAUUUAACUAUUGUUCAUUCUCUCUCUGUCUCUCUUUCUCUCCCAAACUGUAUAACUGUUGAAACUGCAAAAGACAGUGGUUGGUGGGAGAGAAGAUGGAAGUAGAUAGAGUGGAUGGUCGCACACCGAACCAAUUGAGACCGCUCGCUUGUUCUCGUAACACACUCAAUCGUGCUCAUGGCUCUGCCACUUGGUCUCAAGGGGAAACGAAAGUUAUUGCUGCAGUAUACGGGCCGAAAGCAGGAACCAAGAAGAAUGAAAACCCUGAAAAGGCUUGCAUCGAAGUUGUCUGGAAGCCCAAGACUGGGCAGAUUGGGAAACCAGAGAAGGAGUAUGAGAUGAUCCUCAAAAGGACUUUGCAAAGUAUCUGUCUUUUGACUAUCAAUCCAAAUACCACAACCUCAGUUAUAGUUCAGGUUGUUAAUGAUGAUGGUGCUCUUCUCCCAUGUGCAAUAAAUGCUGCAUGUGCUGCCCUUGUGGAUGCUGGAAUUCCUUUGAAGCAUCUUGCAGUUGCAAUAUGUUGUUGUCUGGCAGAAAGUGGAUACAUUAUACUGGACCCGAACAAGCUAGAAGAGCAGAAAAUGAAGGCAUUUGUGUAUUUAGUUUUCCCAAACUCGAUUCUCUCUGUCCUUCCGGGAGCAUCAUUACAGGUGGGAGAUGAGCCGAUGGAACAUGGGCUAAUUACGUCUGUUACACAUGGUGUAAUGUCAGUGGAUGAUUAUCUUCAGUGUCUAGAACGAGGUCGGGCUGCAAGUGCAAAGUUGUCUGGAUUUCUCAGGAGAAGUUUGCAGCUGCAGGUGUCCAAGUAAUUUCUCCAAUGCCGAGUGAUUUUGACAUGAUUGCAAGGGGGUGUAGAUUCUGAAGAGUUGCAAGGUGCAAGACCGUAUUGCCAUCGUUGUCUGGCAAGUUCACCAGCCUCGUAAUGUUGAGCGUCUCGACCAAGUACCUCAGCACCUCGUACUGAUUAUUUUUCACAGCCAGGUGAAGAACUGUUUCGCCAUUUUUGGUUACCAUCUCAGCAGAUUCAAGGCUCAUGGAGAGUAUUUCGUCGACAAUGUUAACUCGACCUUUGAUGGCUGCCCAGUGGAGGGGAGUUCGACCUUCA
This is an RNA transcript of Camellia sinensis, 1195 nucleotides long. It is a transcript of the gene named Ribosomal protein S5 domain 2-like superfamily protein, with no coding region annotated. NCBI's taxonomy places the organism in Eukaryota, Viridiplantae, Streptophyta, Magnoliopsida, Ericales, Theaceae. The record is from RefSeq and is a predicted model, not a curated record.